CAAGGCUUGACAUGGAUUUCUAAGCGCGUGAAAGCGCGUGACCCUUCGGGGGACUUCCACAGGUGCUGCAUGGCCGUCGUCAGCUCGUGUCGUGAGAUGUUGGGUUAAGUCCCGCAACGAGCGCAACCCUUGUGACUAGUUGCCAGCGGGUAAUGCCGGGAACUCUAGUCAGACUGCCCAGAUCAACUGGGAGGAAGGUGGGGACGACGUCAGGUCAGUAUGGCCCUUACGCCUUGGGCUGCACACGUACUACAAUGCCCAGCACAAUGAGAACCGAUGCCGCGAGGUGGAGGAAAUCUGCAAAACUGGGCCCAGUUCGGAUUGGAGGCUGCAACUCGCCUCCAUGAAGUUGGAAUCGCUAGUAAUGGCGCAUCAUCUACGGCGCCGUGAAUACGUUCCC
This 400-nucleotide ribosomal RNA is filed under the name uncultured bacterium. RNAcentral's name for it is "bacterial SSU rRNA". It matches the Rfam family "Bacterial small subunit ribosomal RNA", at positions 975 to 1375 of the family's 1533-position model. The record is from RNAcentral.